UGGNUUGUAACUGACGCUGAGGCUCGAAAGCGUGGGGAGCAAACAGGAUUAGAUACCCUGAUAGUCCACGCCGUAANCGAUGAGUGCUAGGUGUUAGACCCUUUCCGGGGUUUAGUGCCGCAGCUAACGCAUUAAGCACUCCGCCUGGGGAGUACGACCGCAAGGUUGAAACUCAAAGGAAUUGACGGGGGCCCGCACAAGCGGUGGAGCAUGUGGUUUAAUUCGAAGCAACGCGAAGAACCUUACCAGGUCUUGACAUCCCUCUGACCGCUCUAGAGAUAGAGUUUUCCUUCGGGACAGAGGUGACAGGUGGUGCAUGGUUGUCGUCAGCUCGUGUCGUGAGAUGUUGUGUUAAGUCCCGCAACGAGCGCAACCCCUAUUGUUAGUUGCCAUCAUUCAGUUGGGCACUCUAGCGAGACUGCCGGUAAUAAACCGGAGGAAGGUGGGGAUGACGUCAAAUCAUCAUGCCCCUUAUGACCUGGGCUACACACGUGCUACAAUGGCUGGUACAACGAGUCGCAAGCCGGUGACGGCAAGCUAAUCUCUUAAAGCCAGUCUCAGUUCGGAUUGUAGGCUGCAACUCGCCUACAUGAAGUCGGAAUCGCUAGUAAUCGCGGAUCAGCACGCCGCGGUGAAUACGUUCCCGGGCCUUGUACACACCGCCCGUCACACCACGAGAGUUUGUAACACCCGAAGUCGGUGAGGUAACCAUUNGGA
This 717-nucleotide ribosomal RNA is filed under the name uncultured bacterium. RNAcentral's name for it is "bacterial SSU rRNA". It matches the Rfam family "Bacterial small subunit ribosomal RNA", at positions 730 to 1447 of the family's 1533-position model. The record is from RNAcentral.